RNA transcript from Myiozetetes cayanensis, 13054 nucleotides. It is a transcript of the gene named acrosin-like, with no coding region annotated. Lineage: Eukaryota; Metazoa; Chordata; Aves; Passeriformes; Tyrannidae. The record is from RefSeq and is a predicted model, not a curated record. The transcript is spliced from 7 exons.
UAACAAAGCUCAGGGAUAAUGUAGCACAUGAUGAGAGUAAAUGAAGAGUGUUUUACUUUAGAUUUGGUGGCCUGCCCUUUCCAGCAUCUUGCAAACUGAAUCUCUCUUUCUGACUCCCAAUCUCCCAGGCAUCCUGUCAGGACAGUGUCAGAUGAGGGACGUUGUCACCUCUUUGCCAUUUUAUCACUUCAACCACAUUAUCCCUUUCAAUAAUUAGACUGUGCCUUCUUUGAGGAAGCAUUUUGACUUCAGCUGUUGAAAGUUUAUGUGAAUGGUUCCUGUAGAAUUCUCAUUCAACAGAGGGCGCCCUACAAGAUGAUAAGUAAUCUUCUACAGUCACAUGGACAAGGACUUGCCUAUGACUUUAGCUGUGCAGGACUAGAGAAAGCAAGAGAAAGCAAUGCUGGGAAGUGCAGGUGUGAGGCAUUGCUCCAGGCAGGUCUACUUCCUUCUGGAAUCUAGAGAUAUAGCAUAGGUCAUGGAAGCAACCUCUGAAUUGUUCUCUUGACAGAAAGGUGGAGAGUGAGAUCUUCAGUGAGAAGUGAAAUCAAAUUUGUUAGUGAUCAAAAGGACAAGAGAGAUCCAUGUGUUGGAAACAACUGGUGCCAAUGAGGCCUCUCGGCUAACCCCCUAAGCAAAUUGCAGUCUCCAUGCAAUAUCAGCUUCUCAGUCCAUCAAAUUGCAGUAGUCAAGUCUGGAGCUGACGGGAGCAUGAGUCACCACUUAAUUUUCUCAUCAGUGGAGGCCAAGUUUUCAAAAUAGUUUUAGAUGCAUUUCCACAGAGAUUUUUGUGAGCCAGCGACCUACAGAGUGACAAGAAAAUGAGCAAUAGCUGCUGCUGAAUCAGCCUCUGCUCCCUGCCACCUACCCUCCUGACCACAGUUUUGGGCAGGGAGGGAAGGUGAGUCAAAGGCCUUUGGAAUUGCUGUGCAGAAAAGAGCCCAGCACAACACCUGGAUUUGUUGAGAAACAAAAUAACCUGUGAAUUCUUAGACUGUCUGGUAGGUUCAAAUGAACCCUGACUGUGUAGCUUGCCCUGACCAGAAGCAGGCAUGAGAUUAGAAAUUGGUUGUGAUCCCUGCUCAGAGAGGCAGCCAACACCCAGCAGCUGCAGCACACAGAAGAGGCCACGCAUCUCCUGAGGAUCCCGUGCUGGUGCGUAUUUAUUGUUCACUCUUUACCUGUGUUAAAAUUGCCACCUGGCACAACGAUUUUUCAGCCAGUUAAGAAGAAUUAAAAAAGUCCCUGAGUGGUCUCCUCUGUGGGUGGGCUCCAUCUAGUAUAAUAAUCACAAAAUCAAAGGCUUGCAGACAUUAGCAUGGUGGGGUUGGUUCAUCUCUGUAAGAGAAAAUAUUUGUGGUCAGUUUUCUUACAAAGUGAUUCAAAAUUCGAAGGGAAAUCAACUGCCUUAAAAGGGAAGAAAAUGACCUUCCUUGAAGUAAAGACAAUUUAAUUGAUAAAAUUAAAAUUAAAAAAAUUAUGGAGGUCAUGUAAAAGGUAAAAAAUUAUGGAGGUCAUGUAAAAGACUGGCCUUUUACCAAAAUAAAUGCAGGAAAUAAAAUUUGAGAGCCCUGUGACAAUAACUGAGUAUGAAAUUCUAUUGACAAAAGCUUUUGCAGUUCUGUGUUCCCUCUGUUUCUUAGCAGUGUGACUGCAGUCCAUCCCUGUUGGUGUCCUUUGUCUGCUGCAGUGCCCAUACCCAAGAUGUUACAAAAUGAUUUUAUUUCCUAAUGCCUUCCAUGUGUAGUUUUGCCACUUCUUGUCAACACUGUUUGAUGAAACACGUGAUAAAAUGUCUUUUUUCCUAUCUUCAAUCUAAAUAUCCCCCCUUUUUUUUUUUUUUUAACUUUUCCCAGUUAGCUGUCCCUAACAUGUGUCUCACCAAGUUGAUGCUCUCAUCUGCUCUCCAAGCUCUCUUAGAGGGUCCAUACUGUAGCCAAGAAACCAGGGCAGCUUUCCAAGAUGCUGCCUGGGGAAGCAGAACUCAGCUUUUUGUGCUGACACUGAAGAACAAGAACUUUGCCCAUGCAAAUUAUGAUUCCUGUGUUCUUCAUUAGGACUCGCAGCUCCCCUGGAAGGAAACACCCGCAUGCGCACGGGCCUGCAGCUCACUGCUUUAUCCAUUAUAGUCACUGUCCAUCGUUUGGGCAAUCCCAUACCACUGUUGAUACAUUUUGCCAAGUUCUCCAGCAAAUUCUUGCUUGUCCUGUUUCAUAAUAUUGUUUUAAGUUAGAGACAUUUUGGGAGAACCUCUAUUUUUCUGUAUAAAAAUUGCAAAAAACAAUCUUUUUUUAAAUUUAUUUUAGGUCACUUUUUGUCUGAAAAAUUAACUGUAAUUUCCAAAUAGUGGCUCAGGACUAAAAAAGAUGCAUGUACUCUGUUUGCCUCACACAUUCACUCUGCCCCAUCCCCAAACCAUACACUCUUUCAGGUACCUCACAGAGAGUUGCCUAGAGCCCUUUUUAGAAAACAGCUACAACAUCUGCUUAGGUCCAAUUCCCUGAUAAAUAAAAUAUAUCCCAGAGGCAUAAUAGCAUACUAAAAAUAAGAGUAUGACACAAUUUCAGCCAGCUAAUAUGGUAACUCUCUCUGAUGCAGCUCACGGAGUGUUAAUGUGAGAAGCCUGUAUCUUUCCAGCUUGGCUGUCUGGUGGCGUCGUGCAUGGAUCUCUCCCCGAGCCAGAGCCAAAUACCACAGCAUGAGCAGCAGUAUGGGAGCAGUACUGUGCCACCCUGUGCUCACAGGCUUCCUGCUUUCUGGCCUCUCCAAAUGUAAAAAAAUAGUGGAAUAUGUGAGAUUUUGCAUGAGUCAGGGGAACAGAACAGAAGUGUUGCUGUCUGUGGAGCCCGACUGUUAUCGUGCUUCUGUUCAGGUAACAAGUAUUUGAGAUAUGAAACAUCAAUGUGUAACCUCUCUGAUUACAAAAGGCAUAAAGAGUUGUGUAGAGCUGUACUACAAAGAGCUAUCAAUGUUCCCAAAUAAUCCCAUUUUAAGUGUCUGUUGAGACAUUGUUCAAAAAACAAGAAAACUCAAAUCUUGCUGGUAUUGGUUUUUUUGAAAGAUUUUUAGGUAGUAGUUGGUUUUUUUAAAAAAGUAAGGUGCAUAGUCCAUGUAGAAAAACACUUUUCCAUGUAUAUCAUGAUGUAUGUUAAACCAUUACUUUCUAGGCUCUAUGAUUUAAUAUUUUACAAAUAUUUAGGAAUCUAUUUUGCUUAUCUAAUACUCUACUUUCAAUAGCAAACUCUCUUUGCUAAGUCAUCCCAUUUGAAAUUUUAGCUUUGGUACAUGUAAAAAUAUGUUUCAGUGUAUUGCCAGCAGGAGCUUUCUAUGUUUAAAAAAAUUAAUUUAGUGAGAAAUUUCAGUAUUUUCCAAUCCUAGUGAAACUAAAAUUUAGUUUGUUUAGAUGGCAUAGUGGUAUUCUUUGAAAAGCUGCUGCUUUGAAUGUGCUAGGAAUUUUUUGUCAGAAGCCCUAGUUUAGAAGUUUAUUGUCUUAGUAACAGAAUACUGGCUCUGAACAAUCCCAGAAGCAUAAUACAUUAGCAGAAGGAAAACAGUAUUUAUAUCCAAUAAUUCACCUGUUAUAAAUUAUGACUGUAAAGAAAAAGUGUUCCUUUUUAAACCUUGCUGCCAGAUUCUGGUUUCAGCGAUGCUGAGUAAGGUAAGUAAUGUUCUUUUGAUUAACAGUCAAGCCUUGAGUGGUUUUCAUUUAAAGAAGACUUUAUUAAGCUUUUUUCUCAAAUUCAUCUUUUUUGUUCUGUUUUGAACAGACUUCCAUCUGAAGAAAUCUCUCAGUGACUUUUUAGCCUACAUUAAAUCCCCACUGACAAACAGAUGAGAAUUAUUAUUAAUUUGCUCCAGAAAGAACUAAUAGGCUUUGCCAAAUAAAUCAUGCUGAUCACUAAGUGUGCUAUUCAUCUCUUCUGCAGAUUAUUGCUUAAAAGCCAUGAUAGUUGUCCUUUAAAAAUAAAAAGUCAAAUAAGUCUUUUGACUUGAAGUAAAAAAUUUGGACUGAUGGUUGUCUUGGUCCUGACUAUUUUUUUUUUUUUGCAGUUUGGAAAAUGAAAGGGCUGGUGAGCAUGGAUUCUCGGUGAGUGUGGAUUCUUAGCUUCUAGGAAACUUGACCACACGUGGAGACUGGAGGUAACCGGUGAGUGUUAAUGAAUGGUUCAGUUAUUUAUCCCUGCCCAGUAGUACGAGCGCCCCAAGUCUUCUGAGAAGCCAGAAACCACCAGCAGAGUUGAACUCCUUCACAUCACCUUUGCCAGCGUGUGUCCGUGUGUCUGUCUGUGUGUCACAGUCCAGGGCCCAGCCCAGGUCCUGAAGUAUUCAAGUAUCUUCCACAGUUUCAGUUCCUUCUGUUUUGGAAGUAGUAGAUACUUUGUGCUCCUCUUGUCUUUCAAGAGUACAAUGUAGGUAAUUAUGUGAUAACUUAUUAGCAGUUUGUUGAUUUGAGCUUAGUUGGUACAGUCACUUGUGACUCUGCAGCACAUGCUUCAUCAUCUCUUUGAUUUUUUCCUAAUUAAUUGAAGAGUCUGAUCAUCCACUUCCAACUAGUUUUUAAGUACCCUCAAUUAUUUUUUUGUUUGGGAAUUGAUUUAGAGUGGGAACAUGUCUCAGCUAAUUGCAAGACAUAAUACUACAAAAUUAUAUGAAUUAACAAAUACUAAUAUGUACUUAGCAUCUAUCCUAGAUACCAAUGUUUAUACACACACACAGAGGAUGCUGCUACAGGCUGAAAUUAGAAGACAGCAACAAUGUAGAUUAUCCAAAGUCAGUAUUUCUCUAGUAAAAUUCAGAUCAGCAUGAGGCAUUUAUCCCAUUCAGAUAGGCUGUCCAGCAUCUUCACCAAUAACAGGACUUUCUAGAUGACCCUUAUGCCAGUAGAAGUUGUGGUUCUAGCUGAUACUACUGAAUUAACAUUCCUUGUGAGGUAUUUCUCCAAAUGCUUUGACCACAUAUUUUUAAUUUCUCCUGUUUGUUAUUAAAAUGAUGCAUUAUAAAUUUGCCAAGUCAUGCAAAGCAGCACCAUUUCGUAUCUUGGAUACACCACAAAUUUUCACAGGAAAAAAUAUGUUUAGAAACACUAGAGCUGUUGGAACGUUAAUUGUUGUUAUUGUUGUUAUUAAUUGUUGUCUUUCAGUAUCUUCCAUCCUUGAAGUUUAGCUACCUCAUAAUAUCAAAAACCCAUCUGUACAGGUACCAGAAAACAAACAAACAAACAAACAAAAUAAGAAAAGUAGGAGAGAGGAGGAGGGGAGGAAUCCAUGUGUGGUGUUUAGUGGCUUUUUUACUCAGAAUAUUGUACCUUCAUAAAUAAUUAAAUGUCUCUUCUUUUUAAAAUAUAUUGAGCUUUUAUUUUUACAUGGAUGGAUUUUACAACACCAGAAAUUCAGCCUCUCACUGAGAAGAAAAGGUGAUCAGAAGAAUGGAAAUACUAUUCAGGCAGGGCCUGAGCACCCUCAUCCUGCAAGCAGCAGUGCCUACAAGAAAGCUGGAGGGGGACUUUUUCCAAGGGGGGACCUGCGGGGUCCGGCCCACGACUUCUGAUGAGGACCAAGGCAAGACCCGUGUUGUGGGUGGCACAAGUGCCCAGGAAGGAGCCUGGCCCUGGCUCGUCAGCAUCCAGGAUCCUGAGAUACCAGGCACGGGUCAUCUGUGCGGAGGGUCCCUCAUCAGCACACGGUGGGUCCUCACAGCGGCCCACUGCUUCGUCGAUAUCAGAAACAUCAGCACUUUGCGUGUGGUGAUCGGGGCCACCCAGCUGACCGAGCUGGCCGCUGGGGCUGAAGUGCGCGAGGUGGCGCGGCUGCUGGUUCAUGAGGACUACAACGCUGCUGACCAGAGCAACGACAUCGCGCUGCUGGAACUUGACCGGCCUGCCGAGUGCAACCUCUACAUCCAGCUGGGCUGUGUGCCCAAUGGCACGGUGGAUGUGUCAGAGCUGGACAUCUGCUACGUCGCUGGUUGGGGUGCCACCACUGCAAGAGCUCAAAAAUCGAGCGAUGUCCUGCAGGAGGCCCAGGUCCACCUCAUUGAUGUCCAGCUCUGUAACAGCAGUGAUUGGUAUGCAGGGGAUGUCCACACCCACAACUUGUGUGCUGGUCAUCCAGAGGGAGGCAUCGACACCUGCCAGGGUGACAGCGGUGGUCCUCUCAUGUGCAAAGACAAUGACGCUGACAACUUCUGGGUUGUUGGAGUGACCAGCUGGGGAAGAGGCUGUGCAAGAGCAAAACGGCCUGGAAUCUAUACCUCCACUCAGCACUUUUACAACUGGAUCCUGGCCCAGAUAGGCCUGCUUCCAGAUGUAAGUGCUCCUACGACAGCACGGACAUGGGGUUAUUAUCCAACCGCCGCACAACCCUGGGGUCAGUUUCCGACCGCUGCACGACCCACUCAGAAUCCAUGGCCAAGACCACCCGCCACACAGCCGCCAUGGACAAGACCACCUGCCACACAUCCACCAUGGACAAGACCACCUGCCACACAGCCACCGUGGACAAGACCACCUGCCACACAGCCACCGUGGACAAGACCACCCGCCACACAGCCACCGUGGACAAGACCAACCACCACUCAGAUUCCAAAGCCACCACCAACCACUGCUCCGAAGCCAAAGCCACCACCAACACCGGUAGACAAGUCCUGCCCAUUUCCAGUCAAGAAGCUGGUGGAAUUCUUCACUCGGAUGGAGAAGCUCCUGCAGGCCCUACAGGGAAAAACAGCUUGAGCAGCAGGAUGAACAGGAUCCAGUUCAGGCUGCAUGGAACCACGACCGUUUCCUGCCGGGGCAAUGCCUCGGUGCCAAAGGCCUGCUCUGUCCUGCUCACACUGCUCCUCUGCAUGUACACAAAUGCUAAUGUUGACUUAGUUGCUGAAAUAAAAAAUUGCCUUUUUUCACAGUUAAUGAUAUUUUCAGAUGAGUUCUGCCUCCUGGACAAGCCCAGGACCUUGGAAGUGAGACUCCAGGCAGACUACUUGGGCACAAAGGGAAAGAGUCACUUCAGAGGGCUGGAACUGUACCUGGUCAGAGAGAAGGGUGCUCAGAGCCACCACAGGAUGGAGAAGAUUGGCAUAUCUUCCUCUAGGAAGAGGACAGGAAAAAAUAAUGCCACGUGCAGACACCUUAUGGGGGAUACAUUAAGGCACACAAUCAGGCUCUAAGCCUUAGCUAGUGGAACAGGCCUGGGAAACUCCUGAGCAUGACAAGCAAAAUUGGUGACUGUCACAAAGAGAGGGAGAAGCUGGCAGGGGCUACAGUGCCCUAAGGAAGAGCCAGAUUUCACAGGUAGUGAAGUGGGGUUGAUAUGUGAGGUGGCCACACUUCACAGGCGCUCAAAGGAAGAGUUGGGGUCAUUUUGUGGAGAAGAACCUGGCAGGACCAUUGGGACCCAGUAAACUGCAUCAGUAAUGCCUUGGAAGGCCAAGGUGAGCUGUCUAACAGCACCUGCAACACCAAGUCUGUUCACAGGUGGGGCAAACCUUGGAGCCAGGGUGGAAAAAUAGCAGGGGUGGGUCCCCUGUUUGGGAGGAGACAAGGGAUGAGAAAGGGAAGAGUGGAGGAAGAUGAAGGGGGUGAAUAAACAUGGCAUAUGGAGAGAAAAGAGGAUCAAGGAACCAAGUGCACAGAUGCAAACUGCUGAUUGCUUUGCUGGUUUGAGCCCUGCACCUGAUCACCACAGGAUGGGAAAGAAGAUUCCUUGCCCUAGGCUUCCUGCAACAGAGUCUCAGAGGCCCAGUUCCUAGAGAAUGGCAUUUGGGACUGAGAGCAGAAGCAUCCUUCUCUGUCUAGAGCUUCCAAUUGCUGCACGUCUUUGGCCAAGCAUUCCAGGUGCCAUAACUUCCCUUGCCAGUGUGGGCCAGGAACAGCAAUAGAUCUCACAGACAGCGAGGACAGGGAGCCUACCAGAGGGGGUUGCUGUGGCUGGCAUGGCCAGUGUGGGCUGUGCUGCCUCUGCAUUUCCCUGUGCUUUGCUUGGGAAGGGUGGUGCUGCUUGGGAACGCUUGGCUUACUGGGCUUGUGCUUCGCUGGUCACCCACCAGGCCUGUAACCAGAUCAGCUCCUCCAGACCCAGACACACACAUGCUGCCUGCAGGAGCCAUGUGCUCUGGUGUGUGUAUUUUUGGGAAGAAGCUGGUGGCAAAUGGGUGCAGAGAGCAGGGUGAUAGUGAACUUCCCAAAGAGGCAGUGAUGCUACAAGGGGUGUUUUCUGGUGAGCUGUUGGCAGGCAGUGCACACCCUCAUCCCGCAAGCAGAGGGGCUACCAGAAGAUGGAGAGAGACUUUUUACAAGGGCAAGUAGUGAUAGGACAAGGGGGAAUGGCUCCAAAGUGGUAGUUUCAGAAUAGAUAUUAGGAAGAAAUUCUUCUCAACUCAGUGGCUUCAAAGCUGCUCUCAAACCAAAUGCCAGAACCAUCUCCUGCUCAGGGAUGGAAAAAGCCUGUCACAGUCAUUACUGUGACACAGGCACCUACCAGCAGCCUCCAACUGCACGUUCAAAUGCCAAGUGACAGGCAGAUGUUUGCAGUAAGAAAUACAGCCCUCUCAGAGCCUCUGGUUGCAUCACCCACCAGGACAGCAUUGCCUCAGCCUUCUCUGGCCAGAGCUUUGACCUGCACGAGUCACUUGAGCUCAGCCGGGCUCUGCACAUCGCUCUGACGAUGGGGCCCAAGCAGACCACGUGGCACUUCUGAAACUAGAGAGCUGUGCCUUUUUCCUGGCAUAAAUGUCUUUGUCAGUAGGAAGCUGGCAAGGAGAAAGGGAUGUAAGACAACUUAACCCCUGCCUAUUGUUUUCUCAGCAGCAUUUGUGUGGUGGAUUUAUAGACGUAAAAAAAAAAAAAAAAAAAAAAGAAAUCCACCGUUGGGAAUUUAAAAUAACACUGGGGAAACAGUGCAUGCUCUGCAAUAAUAGCUUUAUAAUUAGGUGGACUAUAAACCACAUAACUUGAAAUUUCAUUGACGAAGUGCACGGGGUUAUAAAAACGCAGUUAACAUCCCCGGCUCUUUGAUGCAGAAACUUCUACCUGCUUGCAGACGGGGGUGGAGUCGCACCUGCGUUGCCGCUGCCGUGAGAGGAUAUGGGAGCCGGGGCAAUGGGGAGGGCUCCGACCCCUGCUCACCCAGAGCUCCCCUCCCUGCCCGGCCCAGCCCGGUCUCCAUCGCCGGGAUAACGCUGCCCCCUCGCGGCCGGCGCGGGUCGCUCUGCGCUGCCCUUCGGUAAUGCCGAGGGAUGCCUUGGGCUUUGGUGUGCCGCCCGCCUGGAUCUGCCCGGGAACGCACUUACCAGGGCCAUUCCUACCCGGUACCGCGCGGGCAGCCCUGCCCUUCCCGCAGCCGAGCAGCGGCUGCCUCUGGUCACUCGCCUGACACGUCGUGUUGGUGCUGCCUCAGAUGCUGGGAAUUACUGGUGACACCUCUCUUGACUUGGUUAAAUAUUUUUUUUUCCACUUCGAGCCGUGUGUUUGCACAGUUAAGAUCAGCAAGGCACAUCUGCUUCCAUUCCCGCAGGCUGAUGUCCUUGGUACCUGGCCACCAGUUCUUAGUGUACAUCAACAUGCGCUGAUAUACAACCAGGCUGAUCUUUGACUCGCCUCUGAAACAGCGACACAUUUUCUUGACAACAAAUUAUGUUUUGACAUUAGAAGGUGGCAAUCUGUAAUGGAUAUUGCAAUCUGAAGAUUGAAAGAGACUAUCUGUGAUCUUUGUCCUCAGCCGAGUAAGCUGGAGUCUCUCUUCCCUCCUACACGUUAUUUGAUUGUGGGACGUAACCUUGGGAUGUACUAAUAGUCAUUAGUCAGAGCUGAUAUAUCUGUUACAGGCCUGCCCUGCUUGGGAAAGGAGACGUUCUCUGGAACAGCAGUAAAUCAGCAAAACAUGCACUUAAAUAUACAGUAAAAUGUGGUUUGACACACAGUCCUUCAUACAUCAUAUAACAAAAUGCUUUACUGAGAGAGUCACAUAUACACUAAUGAGGAAAGAGGGCUGCUGAGACGAGACCUGCAAAGGGGAAGCGAUUCCGUGGCGGGAGGGAACCAGGAGAGAUCCCUGAGCAGCUCCUGGUCCAAGGUAAGUUGUGACUUGCCAAGUCCUUUCCUGCCCUCCUAUAGUUGAUGUGGUGCCUUGGUGGAGCUGGCAGGAAAGAGGGGAAGGGAAAGGAAGGAAGGGAGCCCUGUGGAGCUAUCCAGGCACAAUGAGCCUUGAGACCCUGGCAGGGCCAGUGGAGGGGUCCAGGUUGCCAGGAGGAGCGAGGGGUUUGUUCUGCCGCUAACAAGCUUUGCAGGUCAGGUCACCACUUUGUCAUUAGUUUUUGAUGCUAAGCAGCUCUUUUUGCAGCUGAAUGUUGCAGGAAUUGUUAGAGCAUCUCCUUUCUUACAGGCAUUUCUCAUUGUUAUUUAAAUCUAAGUGAAUAAAUAACACAUGCAUCCUUAACUCUGCCAAGGAACUGGCUGAAGCAGGGGCAAACUCUCAGGGGUGAGGGAGAGGACAAACCCUCACCCUCAGAAAGGCAGCCCAGGCAUCAUGUCCCUGUGCUCAGAUCACUGGGGCAUGUGCUGAAUUUUUUUUUAUUCUCUGGGUUCCUGAUCCUGCUGCUUUGCCUCCCUUGGUUUGUGUGGUUUUAAGUAGUUGCAGAAACUGUGCCAAAAGGGCUGGCCAAGCCACCCAGCCAGACCUCCACAAUGCCUGGGGCUAGUCCCGUGUGGCUCUGGGCGAGCACUGCCUCUGCUGAGGGCCUGAGCUCACACAUCCCUGCUGACUGUGACAGCUGGGCCCACAGGGCCCCGUGGCUUCUCCUGUGACCUGACAAAAUCAAUGCAUUUUUGGCUUUUUUGGCAUAUUAGUGACAAUUCAACCAAUGCAGAAAAUGUCCACAAUGACUUAACUGUGCUGUUUAAUGCAAUCUCUCCACAUUACACUGAGUGCCACUAAUUUGUUGGAGGGCUGCUGUCCUCUACUAACUGCUGUCAGGGUGGACAUCUCUAAUAGAGCAGGUGCAGCACUGAGUGAGGCAACAUCUUGUCUGACACAGACGGGGAACAGAUUUAUGGACAGGCUUGAGGAUGGGCAAAACCUAACUGUUUUCAGAUACCGUGGAAAAGCAGGAAGAAUUAGUGAUGGUGUUCUGUGCUCAGCAUGCAGGACUGGUGGCUAUGGGGCAGUGGUUUACAUUUUUUGUGCAGCAGAGGGAAAGCAGGAAUCAUGGCGACACGAGAUGGGAAAAUGAGUGUUCAAGUAAGGGUGUGGUGAAUGGCCAUGAUUAUAUGCAAGUUAAUUUUUUUUUAAUUAUUAUUUUUAGUUAGGAUAGCUCAAGCAUUGUAAUGGCAUAGAUGGUAAUGGUAAUGGAUUUAAGCCAUAGACAUUUUCACUGCCAAAACUCUGUUUGAUGCCUGUUUGACUGGUCAGGAGAUAGGCUCAGGAUUAGGUGUUCAUUAUCUGCUUUCCACAGCUUUGGUCAGUAAUUCUUACCCAAAACCAUGUCACUUUGCUGAGGGAUGGCAACCUGACAUGGGCCACAGACAUCUGCAGGCUGACCUUCACUGGAGGAACUGAGAUUCCCAGUUCCAGCAGAACAUAUGUAACCAACACAGUUGUGCACCUAGAGAGGAGACAGGGCAAGUCUUUCACUUGUCUCUUCAGUAAAUAUUAGAAUGGUUUGUGCCUUUCUUUUCCUAAUUUUGUAAUAUUUUUUCCCUCCAAAAUCUGUUCCAAGUGUGAGCACAGAUUAAUUUCCAUGUAAGACAAGUCACUUAAGAAUGGGGGGGUGUGAAUGGUUUGCCUUUUAAUAAAUUAAUCAGUGCUCAUGUUUUUAACAGCCUUAAGAAGAGAUAAAACCUCCGUUCCUCUUGUCAUGGAAACUACAAUAAAUGAAACAUCAUUCAUAAGUCAAGGAAAAGACACAAGUACUUUAGGUCUCAGUCAAGUCCGCAAAGUAGUAAAACUCAUUACUAAUUCAAAGGAGCUGGGUCCCUCAGAGCUCACCAUUACUGGCUUUACUAGUAAUAAUACUGGAGCAGCAUAAAUUUAACAGAAGGCAGAGUUUGGCAGAAGGUAGCAUGGUGUUGAGGUGCCACUAUCCUAAUCAAAAACCUCCAUGAGGCCUUUACUUGCUCCAGUCAGCCUGGCAAGAAGCAGUGCUGGGUUGUGAGGAAAGAGCUGGGGAGGGGAAGGUUAUGGUUUUAUAACUAUAGCAGUCUGGUAACAUUAAACCUAGAGAGACAGUGGAGGAGGCCAUAGGUAUUUGUAAUUUAUUCAUAAACAGCUAUGCCAUCAUAAGAAACUUUUUAAAAUAAUGUGUGAUAUUCUUAAAGUAUUUAAGAGUUUGUUGACCUAUUUUCUCAGUUAAUUAGAAUUUUUUUGGCUGCAUUAACAAUGACUUGAAUGCAGUCUGCUUUAGUUGUUACACAGUUCAGCUAUCCUGGGUUACAGAAACUUGAUUUCUUUCUGAGACACAUGACACAGGAGAUGAAUGUCAUUGUGUCUGGACUUGUACUUAAAAACCUCUAGACUUACUAGUAGGUAGCGCAUAAGCUCAACUUAUUGAAUAUGAAACCAUUCACCUAACAUCCUUUUGAGUCCUAAAACAAAUGUCUUUUGAAUUACAGUGCUACCCUUGGUUUUUCUGCAGCAGAAGUGCCAUGGUGCAGUUGCCUUUCUCUUCAAAGCACAGUGGUUAAGACCAGCAAGCUCAUCUCUACAAGCUGCAUUUGAGGUGUCCAGGACUGUAAUGUUUUCCAAGGGUGUUUUAGUGGCAUCCUGCAGAAAACCACACCGUUGGAGAAAAGUUUAUACAAACUCAGAGCACAAAGAUGCUGUUAACUUUCCAUGCAGCCUUCACUGGGGAUCUCCAAAGUGACCUGGGAAGGGUACUUCUCAGUCCGUGUUUCUGCACAGGGUGUUACCGAGCUGGCUCAAAGUAAAAAACUCAGUAAAUGCUGCCUGUCAGGCUGCAACAAGCUUCCUCAUCAGGUGCAAAUGGACAGGAAAGAUUUUCUUCCAUUUGCACCUGAUGAGGAGGCAUGUUUUUCCCCCAAAAGCUGGUGUCUGCCACCCUGUGUUUC